AUGUAUAAGUGUAACCUGCCAGACAGGGAAACUGCGUACGGCUCAUUACACCAGCUAUAAUUUACUUGACCUUGACUUCUUACUUGGAUAACUGUGGUAAUUCUAGAGCUAAUACAUGCACCAAAGCUCCAAUCUUCCCAGAGCGGAGCGCAUUUGUUCGCCACAAAACCAAGCGCCUUCGGGCGUCCAGUGUUGACUCAGAACAACUAAGCUGAUCGCACGGUCUUGCACCGGCGACGUGUCUUUCAAGUGUCUGCCUUAUCAACUUUCGAUGGUAGUGUACCUGACUACCAUGGUGAUGACGGGUAACGGAGGAUAAGGGUUCGACUCCGGAGAAGGGGCCUGAGAAAUGGCCACUACGUCUAAGGAUGGCAGCAGGCGCGCAAAUUACCCACUCUCAACAUGAGGAGGUAGUGACGAGAAAUAACGAGACCGAUCUCUUAUGAGGCCGGUCAUCGGAAUGGGUACAAUUUAAACCCUUUAACGAGUAUCUAUGAGAGGGCAAGUCUGGUGCCAGCAGCCGCGGUAAUUCCAGCUCUCAAAAUGCAUAGAAUUAUUGCUGCGGUUAAAAAGCUCGUAGUUGGAUCUGUGCUAGCCGGCCGGUCCACCCACUGGGUGCGCACUGGUUCGGUUGGCUUUUCUGCCGGUCUCUCCCCGGCGUUGGCCUUCACUGGUCGGCGUCGGUGGGCUGGCGAGUUUACUUUGAACAAAUCAGAGUGCUUCAAACAGGCGUUUCGCUUGAAUGUUCGUGCAUGGAAUAAUAGAAGAGGAUUUCGGUCCGAUUCUAUUGGUUUUGCUGACCGAGAUAAUGGUUAACAGAGACAAACGGGGCCAUUCGUAUUGCUACGUGAGAGGUGAAAUUCUUGGACCGUAGCAAGACGGACUACAGCGAAAGCAUUUGGCAAGAAUGUCUUCAUUAAUCAAGAACGAAAGUCAGAGGUUCGAAGGCGAUCAGAUACCGCCCUAGUUCUGACCGUAAACGAUGCCAACUAGCGAUCCGCCGGCGGAUUCAUUCGCCCUGGUGGGGAGCUUCCCGGAAACGAAAGUCUUCCGGUUCCGGGGGAAGUAUGGUUGCAAAGCUGAAACUUAAAGGAAUUGACGGAAGGGCACCACCAGGAGUGGAGCCUGCGGCUUAAUUUGACUCAACACGGGGAAACUCACCCGGCCCGGACACCGUAAGGAUUGACAGAUUGAUAGCUUUUUCAUGAUUCGGUGGAUGGUGGUGCAUGGCCGUUCUUAGUUCGUGGAGCGAUUUGUCUGGUUUAUUCCGAUAACGAGCGAGACUCUAGCCUACUAAAUAGUUGGCUCAUUGCUACUGUGGGCACAACUUCUUAGAGGGAUUUUCGGUGUUCAGCCGCACGAAAUUGAGCAAUAACAGGUCUGUGAUGCCCUUAGAUGUCCGGGGCUGCACGCGCGCUACACUGGCAAAAUCAGCGUGCUUGUCCUUCCCCGAAAGGGGUUGGUAAACCGGUGAAAAUUUGCCGUGAUUGGGAUCGGACAUUGCAAUUAUUGUCCGUGAACGAGGAAUUCCUUGUAGGGGCGAGUCAUCAACUCGCUCUGAAUACGUCCCUGCCCUUUGUACACACCGCCCGUCGCUGCCCGGGACUGAGCCAUUUCGAGAAACUCGGGGACGAUUAUGCGUGCCGGCUUCGGUUGGCGCGUUGAUUGAAACCGAUUUAAUCGCAGUGGCUUGAAUCGGGC
Molecule: ribosomal RNA, 1701 nt
Filed under: Punctodera stonei
Lineage: Eukaryota; Metazoa; Nematoda; Chromadorea; Rhabditida; Heteroderidae
Description: SSU rRNA
Rfam family: Eukaryotic small subunit ribosomal RNA
Source: RNAcentral